Molecule: long non-coding RNA, 2781 nt
Organism: Herpailurus yagouaroundi (jaguarundi)
Lineage: Eukaryota; Metazoa; Chordata; Mammalia; Carnivora; Felidae
Exons: 3
Source: RefSeq, a predicted model, not a curated record
UACUAUUUUGAAUACUACAGUUUUGUAGUAUAUCUUAAAAUCUGGGAUUGUGAUAUUGCCAGCUUUGUUCUUCUUUCUCAAGAUCCUUUUGGCCAUUCGAGGUCUUCUGUGCUUAGAUUUAUUCUAGUUCUGUGAAAGAUGUUGUUGGUAUUUUGAUAUAUUUUAUGCAUUUAUCCUGCGAAAACGUCCAUAGGCUUCACCAGCCCCCCAAAGGAGUGGAAAGUGCAAAACUGGGCUCACAUCUUCAACAUAUGGCUGUCAUAUCCCUUGGGCUGGGGAGAGCAGUUCUAGAACCUUUUAGAGGAGUGGGGCAGGAGGUUCUACACACUCCCAUCCAGUCCCUCCCCAGUGGCUUCAUACUAGACUCCCAGCCCAGGGCGUGGGGCCCUCUGAAGUCUCCUAGAACCUGGGGAGCACUCGGCCUCCGAGCAGGAGGCUAUGCUAGGCUUCUGCAUUCAGGGGCCUGAGCCCCAGGUCUCCGGGGUCCUCUCUAAAGCAACCUGAAUUCGCACCUGCAGGGAGAAAAGCUUAGCUCCCCCGCCCCAAGCCCGAUGCCGGUUUGACCCGGGCGGGAGCCAGGAGCUGGUCUCGGUGCCCGGGCGGCUCCCACCUCUCACGGACUGAGCGCCCCGGGUGCUGACUCAUGCUCGGACUCUCCCGUCCAGCCGGGUGCACGCCCACGACGUGCCCUCCUUCUCGCUUCUCCACUGCUUCCUCCCAGGCGCUUCCAGGCGCCCACACGCGCGCUCCCGUCCCGCCGCCGCCCCUCCUAGCAACCGCCCUCCGCUCCCCCUGCCAGAUCCGGAAACGGGCGGUCUGGUCCGCUGCUGCCUCCGGAACCCUGCAAGCCGCUAGGCCUCCGCCUCCGGCUCCCCUGCCCUCUGCUGAAACCACCCUGCUGAAGGUCGACCGAGCCCGCCUGCCCCGCGAGGACAGGUGGCCCUGGGCCUCCCACUCCCGCUCCCGCCCUGCGGCGCCGAUGCUCCGGCAGCCGCCUCUUCCCGGAUGGACCUGCUCGCUCCCCUGGUUUCCAUGACACUGCACUUUCCCACGCCGCCUCCGAGUUUCUGACAGCUCGUUUCCUCGCUGGCAUCGCCCCCCCCCCCCCCCCAGCCUCUCCCCGUGGGCCUGCCGAGGCGCUGCCCUGGGCUCUCGCUCCCUCCUCCCGCUUGCGUGCCCACGGGCUCCCCCUCCGCCCCUGCCUCGUGCCACCCCCCCACUGCUGCCUCUCCAAUGGCUGCCGUCCCUCCGUAGCCCCCAGUCCCACGUGGCUAGGGCUUACGGAACUCUUACCCUACCCCCACCCCAUGUCCUAAAUCCCUGGACGUCAGACUGGUGCCCCUGGAGGUGUUCAGGCGUGGUCUGGCCCGCCAGCCACAUGACCUGGUGGGAUGUCCUGGAGGUGACUUCACAUGCCCCCUGCGCCUGAGCCCCGCGGCAGGCCUGCGCGAGGUAAGGCUGUGAGGGUGCAAGGCUUACAGGAUGGGAUUCUGUAAAACGGCUGCACGAGUUCAAAUCCUGCCUCUGCUACUUGCCUCGGGCAGGGUCCUGUAUUUGUUCAUCCAUUUAUGUAGCAAAUGUUAAUCGAGCCACUUCUGUGUGCCAGACUCUGUUGAAAACACAAAUGGAAAAACCAAGCGGCUCCCCACACUCUUGAGUCAUGGCCUUAAUCAAAUAAGGUCCAAACAAACGCCAAACUGUGACUCUGACGAGCAUUGUGACGCAGAGGCACAGGCUGCUGUGAGACCCCCACCUCCAGAAGGUCUCCUCUGGGCUGUCAGACACAGUUUCCUUGAGGACAUGCUCUUGAAGCUCAGGUGUGAAGAAUGAGUGUGGGGUUAUGAGGUGUGACAGGUUGAAUAAUGGCCCCCAAAGAUGUCUACAUCCUCAUCCUCAGAACGUAGGAAUGUGUUACCUUACAGGGCAAGAAACCUGUGAUUCUAUUAAGGAGUGGAGCUGUGAGUCUCCUGGAUUAUCUGGGUGGCACAAUGUCAUCACAGGAGGCCUUAUAAGAAGGCAGCAGGAGGGUCAGAGUCAGAGAUGUGAAGAUGGAAGCAGAGGUCAAGUGAUGGCGUUGCUGGAAGGGGGCUGUGAGCCAAGGAAGCCUCUAGAAGCUGGAAGAGGCAAGGAAAUGGAUUCUCCCCCUCGAGCCUCCAAAAGGAGCAAAGCCCUGCUGGCCCACUUUGGAGACUUCUGAUCCUCAGAAUGGCCCAGUUUGGAAGACAAAUGAUAUAUUCACCCUCCUUCGGGGGUCAAGGAGGAGAAAGCAUCCGGGAGGAGGAAACACAGGUGUAAAAUACCACGGAAAGAACAAGGAAGCGGUGUUUGCAAUGUGGUCCGCUGGAGUUGAGUUUGGCAAACUGCUGACUUUGAGAGAGGUUUCUGAGGAAAGAAGUGGAUUGUCAGUAUGACAGCCUAUGAGUCAAGUGAAGAAGCCCAUGAAAAUAUUUUAUGCUGCCAAUUUUGGCCAGCUUGUACGGACAACUGACUGAUAACUUGCAGUAUGGACUGGAAGCAAGAAUUUAGGGUAGGCAUGGAUGGGCUGAAGCUCUGGCUGGCAACAUGAGAAAUCUGUCUCCAUAUUCAAGCUGUUACCGCAAAGCUGUGUCUCCUCAGUGCCCUUAUAUACAAAGAAACCGUUGCCCUCCAGAAUGCGUGUGCAGAUUUAAGACAAGUACUUAAUGAAGCUGAUAAACUUGUCAAUCAUGUCACAAGCAGGCAGUUCAAUAAAGACCUGACCUGUUUUCUUGGCUGAGUGAAGAGACGGGUGGUGACUACAAA